GGGAUGAGCCCAGCGCCGAAUCCCCGGCYUUCGGUCGAGGGAAAUGUGGCGUUWGGGAGUGAGCGUGCCGAGCUCGUGCUGUCGACGGCAAGUCCCCCUGACUGGGGCCUAUCCAKAGCGGGUGCGAGGCCCAUAGCCGUCCGGCGCGGUUCGGARWGCGAUCUCCUUGGAGUCGGGUUGCUUGGGAGUGCAGCCYUAAUCGGGUGGUAAACUCCACCUAAGGCUAAAUACCGCCGUGAGACCGAUAGCAAACAAGUACCGUGAGGGAAAGUUGCAAAGAACUUUGAAGAGAGAGUUCAAGAGUGCGUGAAACUGCUCAGAGGUAAACGGGUGGGCCCUCGAAUUCCUGUGGCGAGAGGAUUCAGUCUGGCGGCCGUAGCGCGCUYGAYCGGAAGAYAAUMAUGGCUUCCCCGGGMUGGGGUGCCGUCCGKUCGCGYGGUCAGCGGAAYGCYAGAYGCAAUUGACUCUCGUCCGAAGGACGCUGCAGCCGGCGGGGCCGUUGCAAACGUGACGGCCUUAAGGGYGGGAGAUGGCAGUUGAYCGGCGGCGCGCACUCAGCGYGCGAGCCGGUUGUUAGCCKUUCCGCCAGUGGCCCGUCGCCUCGCCGUGGUGUCACKAWGCCCURACGGGCCUUCCUCCGUCCCCUUCCAAAGCGAAAGAGCCUCCGCUGGAGCAGGACGCCGUCUCGUCGCACGCCCCAGCGUGGAUGGACGAGUGAUYAGGCGCCGCARGCGURGAAGCCGAGUCGCCGGGGUACUGGAGGCUCGCAGCGAGUAGGUCGGUCACCCACCCGACCCGUCUUGAAACACGGACCAAGGAGUCUAACAUGUGCGCGAGUCAWUGGGUCUUGAACAGGCCCAGAGGCGCAAUGAAAGCRAAGGGUGGCCGUCUGGYGCCCGAGUUGGGAUCCCCGYYUUCGGGCGGGGCGCACCAACGACCCGUCCCGUCCGGCUCGCCGGUGGGGYGGAGUGUGAGCGUACACGUUGGGACCCGAAAGAUGGUGAACUAUGCCCGGACAGGAYGAAGCCAGRGGAAACYCUGAUGGAGGUCCGCAGC
This 1056-nucleotide ribosomal RNA is filed under the name Cyrba ocellata. RNAcentral describes it as "partial 28S ribosomal RNA". It matches the Rfam family "Eukaryotic large subunit ribosomal RNA", at positions 100 to 881 of the family's 3401-position model. Lineage: Eukaryota; Metazoa; Arthropoda; Arachnida; Araneae; Salticidae. The record is from RNAcentral.